AUGUUCACGCGCUCCCCGUGGAGCGAAGCCCUGAGCCUCGCGCUGCCGCCUGCGCCCACGAGUCUCCAGCAGAGCCCAGAUCCGGAGCCUCCCAGGCCGCUCACUGCGGGGAGGGGGGGGGGGGUCACAACCCUCCCUGGCGCCACUGCCACUCACCCCAUCCCUGUUUCUGAACCACUGGGUGCUCAGGGAACACGUGGGGGGCUGUGGGGCGAGGGGCUGGGCCAGGCCGGGGGGACAGUGGCCUCGGGGCGCAGGCCCGUCACCGAGUCCCCAGCAGUCCCCACCGUCGCGUGUGUCCCCACCUCCACCGCCGGCCAAGCGGGCCUCGACUUCCCCCCGAGCCCCGGCAGGUCCCCCGGCCGGGCGGGCCUCGACUUCCCCCCGAGCCCCAGCAGGUGCAGAGCGAGCCUCGACUUCCCCCGAGCCCCGGCAGGUCCCCCGGCCGGGCGGGCCUCGACUUCCCUCGAGCCCCGGCAGGUGCAGAGCGAGACUCGACUUCCCCCGAGCCCCCGCGGGUCCCCCGGCCGGGCGGGCCUCGACUUCCCCCUGAGCCCUAGCAGGUGCAGAGCGAGACUCGACUUCCCCCAGCCCCGGCAGGUCCCCCGGCCGCGCGGGCCUCGACUUCCCUCGAGCCCCGGCAGGUGCACCGGCCGGGCGGGCCUCGACUUCCCCCCGAGCCCCAGCAGGUGCAGAGCGAGCCUCGACUUCUCCCGAGCCCCGGCAGGUCCCCCGGCCGGGCGGGCCUCGACUUCCCCCCUGAGCCCCAGCAGGUGCAGAGCGAGCCUCGACUUCCCCCAGAGCCCCGGCAGGUGCCCCCGGCCAGGCGGGCCUCGACUUCCCCCCGAGCCCCAGCAGGUGCCGCGCGGGCCUCGACUUCCCCCAGCCCCGGCAGGUCCCCCGGCCGCGCGGGCCUCGCCUCCCGGGGCGCGGCCCCGCCCUCCCUGGGGACCCGCGGAGGAGCGGCGGCGCCCGGUGAUUGGCGGCCGCCCGCGCCGCCCGCUGCCAUUGGCUGCCCGCGCCUCUUUGUUCCCGGGCCCCGCGGCGGAAGUUGGACGGCGGCGGCGGGCGGCGCGGGCGGCGGCGCUGGAGUCCUGGCUGGGUCCCCGCGGUCCUCCCCGCUGCUCCUCCCCGCUCCCGGGCCUCCCGGCCUCCCGGCCUCCCCGGUCCCCGCGGCGCAGCGGACGGCGGGCGAGCUCGGGCGCGAGGUCCCGGCCCCGCGGACAUGGAGCUGGAGGCCAAAGUGAAGAAGGUAGGCGGGGGCGGGGGCGGGGGGGGGCCGGGGGGGCACCUGCGCGGGGCGGGGCGGGGCGGGGGCGCGAGGCGGCGGGUCUCGGGCCGCGGCCCCGACGGUUGGGUGCGGGGAGGGCGGGUCGGGCACCGGGCGCGCCUCGCAGCCUCCGGGAGCCUCCCCCGCCCCCCGCGCCCCGAGGUCGGGCCCUCCCGCUGCGCUUCCCCGCUCCCGCAGCCCGACAAGUGACUGUGCGCUCCCUUUCCGUUCCCUUUUCUCCCUUGGUCCCCCGUGCACCGCCCCCCUCGUCGUGCCUCCUCGCUCCUGGAGUUGGGCCGCCGGCCCCGCAGGCGACUGUCACCGUGACCCCGGUCACCCCCCCUCCCAUCCCGCGGCCUUCGGGACUCGCAGCCCUCCCUGAGCCCUCGCAGCCCUCCCUGAGCUCCCGCAGCCCUACCUGA
This 1692-nucleotide long non-coding RNA is filed under the name Canis lupus familiaris (dog). Its description in RNAcentral is "lncRNA (ENSCAFG00030007381.1)". The record is from RNAcentral. Lineage: Eukaryota; Metazoa; Chordata; Mammalia; Carnivora; Canidae.